This 505-nucleotide ribosomal RNA is filed under the name uncultured bacterium. Its description in RNAcentral is "bacterial SSU rRNA". It matches the Rfam family "Bacterial small subunit ribosomal RNA", at positions 15 to 507 of the family's 1533-position model. The record is from RNAcentral.
GAUCAUGGCUCAGGAUGAACGCUAGCUACAGGCUUAACACAUGCAAGUCGAGGGGAAACGAUAGAGAAAGCUUGCUUUUUCUAGGCGUCGACCGGCGCACGGGUGAGUAACGCGUAUCCAACCUGGCCCAUACCACGGGAUAGCCCGUCGAAAGGCGGAUUAAUACCGUAUGCUGUCGUUAAGAUGCAUAUAUUGAUGACGAAAGGACUGGCGGUAUGGGAUGGGGAUGCGUCUGAUUAGCUUGUUGGCGGGGUAACGGCCCACCAAGGCGACGAUCAGUAGGGGUUCUGAGAGGAAGGUCCCCCACAUUGGAACUGAGACACGGUCCAAACUCCUACGGGAGGCAGCAGUGAGGAAUAUUGGUCAAUGGGCGCAAGCCUGAACCAGCCAAGUAGCGUGAGGGAAGACUGCCCUACGGGUUGUAAACCUCUUUUGUUUGGGAAUAAAGUGCGGGACGUGUCCCGCAUUGCAUGUACCAUUUGAAUAAGGACCGGCUAAUUCCGUG